RNAcentral lists this ribosomal RNA (486 nucleotides) under uncultured bacterium. RNAcentral's name for it is "partial 16S ribosomal RNA". It matches the Rfam family "Bacterial small subunit ribosomal RNA", at positions 28 to 523 of the family's 1533-position model. The record is from RNAcentral.
GAUGAACGCUGGCGGCGUGCUUAACUCAUGCAAGUCGAACGGAAAGGCCUCAGCUUGCUGGGGUACUCGAGUGGCGAACGGGUGAGUAACACGUGGGUGAUCUGCCCUGCACUUUGGGAUAAGCUUGGGAAACUGGGUCUAAUACCGAAUAUGACCACUUCUUGGAUGUUGUGGUGGAAAGCUGUUGCGGUGUGGGAUGAGCCUGCGGCCUAUCAGCUUGUUGGUGGGGUAAUGGCCUACCAAGGCGGCGACGGGUAUCCGGCCUGAGAGGGUGUACGGACACAUUGGGACUGAGAUACGGCCCAGACUCCUACGGGAGGCAGCAGUGGGGAAUAUUGCACAAUGGGCGCAAGCCUGAUGCAGCGACGCCGCGUGGGGGAUGAAGGCCUUCGGGUUGUAAACUCCUUUCGCUAUCGACGAAGCCACUUGUGGUGACGGUAGGUAGAUAAGAAGCACCGGCUAACUACGUGCCAGCAGCCGCAGUAA